AUCCUGGCUUAGGACGAACGCUGGCGGCGUGCCUAAUACAUGCAAGUCGAACGGUCUUUCUAUGGAAGCUUGCUUCACUGAGAAGAUAGUGGCGAACGGGUGAGUAACACGUGGGUAACCUGCCCAUAAGAGGGGGAUAACAUCCGGAAACGGGUGCUAAUACCGCAUAGUUUUCUUGAUCGCAUGAUCGGGAAAGGAAAGACGGCCUUUGUGCUGUCGCUUAUGGAUGGACCCGCGGCGUAUUAGUUAGUUGGUGAGGUAACGGCUCACCAAGACGAUGAUACGUAGCCGACCUGAGAGGGUGAUCGGCCACAUUGGGACUGAGACACGGCCCAAACUCCUACGGGAGGCAGCAGUAGGGAAUCUUCCGCAAUGGACGAAAGUCUGACGGAGCAACGCCGCGUGAGUGAAGAAAGGUUUUCGGAUCGUAAAACUCUGUUGUCAGAGAAGAACAAGUUGGAGAGUAACUGCUCCAGCCUUGACGGUAUCUGACCAGAAAGCCACGGCUAACUACGUGCCAGCAGCGGC
RNAcentral lists this ribosomal RNA (528 nucleotides) under uncultured bacterium. Its description in RNAcentral is "bacterial SSU rRNA". It matches the Rfam family "Bacterial small subunit ribosomal RNA", at positions 16 to 518 of the family's 1533-position model. The record is from RNAcentral.